CUACGGGACGCUGCAGUGAGGAAUAUUGCACAAUGGGGGGAACCCUGAUGCAGCAACGCCGCGUGGAGGAUGACGCAUUUCGGUGUGUAAACUCCUUUUAUAUGUCAAGAAAAUGACGGUAGCAUAUGAAUAAGCACCGGCUAACUCCGUGCCAGCAGCCGCGGUAAUACGGAGGGCGCAAGCGUUACUCGGAAUCACUGGGCGUAAAGGACGCGUAGGCGGGUUGGAAAGUCAGGUGUGAAAUCCUACAGCUUAACUGUAGAACUGCACUUGAAACUUCUAAUCUAGAGUAUGGGAGGGGGAGAUGGAAUUAGUGGUGUAGGGGUAAAAUCCGUAGAUAUCGCUAGGAAUACCUAAAGCGAAGGCGAUCUCCUGGAACAUUACUGACGCUAAGGCGUGAAAGCGUGGGGAGCAAACAGGAUUAGAUACCCGUGUAGUC
RNAcentral lists this ribosomal RNA (439 nucleotides) under uncultured bacterium. RNAcentral's name for it is "partial 16S ribosomal RNA". It matches the Rfam family "Bacterial small subunit ribosomal RNA", at positions 339 to 795 of the family's 1533-position model. The record is from RNAcentral.